This 217-nucleotide ribosomal RNA is filed under the name uncultured Pseudomonas sp. RNAcentral describes it as "partial 16S ribosomal RNA". It matches the Rfam family "Bacterial small subunit ribosomal RNA", at positions 325 to 531 of the family's 1533-position model. The record is from RNAcentral. Lineage: Bacteria; Pseudomonadati; Pseudomonadota; Gammaproteobacteria; Pseudomonadales; Pseudomonadaceae.
GUCGACGAUUACUCCUACGGGAGGCAGCAGUGGGGAAUAUUGGACAAUGGGCGAAAGCCUGAUCCAGCCAUGCCGCGUGUGUGAAGAAGGUCUUCGGAUUGUAAAGCACUUUAAGUUGGGAGGAAGGGUUGUACGCUAAUACCGUGCAAUUUUGACGUUACCGACAGAAUAAGCACCGGCUAACUCUGUGCCAGCAGCCGCGGUAAUAAUCUCUAGA